Molecule: ribosomal RNA, 253 nt
Filed under: uncultured bacterium
Lineage: Bacteria
Description: partial 16S ribosomal RNA
Rfam family: Bacterial small subunit ribosomal RNA
Source: RNAcentral
UACGUAGGGAGCAAGCGUUGUCCGGAAUCAUUGGGCGUAAAGCGCGUGUAGGCGGCUUGGUAAGUCUGCUGUGAAAGCCCGGGGCUCAACCCCGGGAGGCGGGUGGAUACUGCUGAGCUCGAGUCCGGAAGAGGCGAGUGGAAUUCCUGGUGUAGCGGUGAAAUGCGCAGAUAUCAGGAGGAACACCGAUGGCGAAGGCAGCUCGCUGGGACGGUACUGACGCUGAGACGCGAAAGCGUGGGGAGCAAACAGG